AAUGAACGCUGGCGGCGUGGUUAAGACAUGCAAGUCGAACGGUUUUCAUUGAAGGGCAACCGGAUAUGAAAGCAGUGGCGAACGGGUGCGUAACACGUGAACAAUCUACCUUCAAGUGGGGAAUAGCUCGCCGAAAGGCGAAUUAAUACCGCAUGUGGUCGGGGCUCGCAUGAGCCUUGAACUAAAGUCAGGGACCGCAAGGCCUGACGCUCGGAGAGGAGUUCGCGGCCUANCAGCUAG
RNAcentral lists this ribosomal RNA (240 nucleotides) under uncultured bacterium. RNAcentral describes it as "partial 16S ribosomal RNA". It matches the Rfam family "Bacterial small subunit ribosomal RNA", at positions 29 to 248 of the family's 1533-position model. The record is from RNAcentral.